CAGCCGCCACGGUAAAACGGAGGGUGCAAGCGUUACUCGGAAUCACUGGGCGUAAAGGACGCGUAGGCGGAUUAUCAAGUCUCUUGUGAAAUCUAACGGCUUAACCGUUAAACUGCUUGAGAAACUGAUAAUCUAGAGUAAGGGAGAGGCAGAUGGAAUUCUUGGUGUAGGGGUAAAAUCCGUAGAUAUCAAGAAGAAUACCUAUUGCGAAGGCGAUCUGCUGGAACUUAACUGACGCUAAUGCGUGAAAGCGUGGGGAGCAAACAGGAUUAGAUACCCCGGUAGUCCCUGUCUCUUAUAC
RNAcentral lists this ribosomal RNA (301 nucleotides) under uncultured bacterium. Its description in RNAcentral is "partial 16S ribosomal RNA". It matches the Rfam family "Bacterial small subunit ribosomal RNA", at positions 509 to 807 of the family's 1533-position model. The record is from RNAcentral.